UUAAGCGACUAAGCGUACACGGUGGAUGCCCUGGCAGUCAGAGGCGAUGAAGGACGUGCUAAUCUGCGAUAAGCGUCGGUAAGGUGAUAUGAACCGUUAUAACCGGCGAUUUCCGAAUGGGGAAACCCAGUGUGAUUCGUCACACUAUCAUUAACUGAAUCCAUAGGUUAAUGAGGCGAACCGGGGGAACUGAAACAUCUAAGUACCCCGAGGAAAAGAAAUCAACCGAGAUUCCCCCAGUAGCGGCGAGCGAACGGGGAGCAGCCCAGAGCCUGAAUCAGUGUGUGUGUUAGUGGAAGCGUCUGGAAAGGCGCGCGAUACAGGGUGACAGCCCCGUACACAAAAAUGCACAUGCUGUGAGCUCGAUGAGUAGGGCGGGACACGUGGUAUCCUGUCUGAAUAUGGGGGGACCAUCCUCCAAGGCUAAAUACUCCUGACUGACCGAUAGUGAACCAGUACCGUGAGGGAAAGGCGAAAAGAACCCCGGCGAGGGGAGUGAAAAAGAACCUGAAACCGUGUACGUACAAGCAGUGGGAGCACAGAGCAAUCUGUGUGACUGCGUACCUUUUGUAUAAUGGGUCAGCGACUUAUAUUCUGUAGCAAGGUUAACCGAAUAGGGGAGCCGAAGGGAAACCGAGUCUUAACUGGGCGUUAAGUUGCAGGGUAUAGACCCGAAACCCGGUGAUCUAGCCAUGGGCAGGUUGAAGGUUGGGUAACACUAACUGGAGGACCGAACCGACUAAUGUUGAAAAAUUAGCGGAUGACUUGUGGCUGGGGGUGAAAGGCCAAUCAAACCGGGAGAUAGCUGGUUCUCCCCGAAAGCUAUUUAGGUAGCGCCUCGUGAAUUCAUCUCCGGGGGUAGAGCACUGUUUCGGCAAGGGGGUCAUCCCGACUUACCAACCCGAUGCAAACUGCGAAUACCGGAGAAUGUUAUCACGGGAGACACACGGCGGGUGCUAACGUCCGUCGUGAAGAGGGAAACAACCCAGACCGCCAGCUAAGGUCCCAAAGUCAUGGUUAAGUGGGAAACGAUGUGGGAAGGCCCAGACAGCCAGGAUGUUGGCUUAGAAGCAGCCAUCAUUUAAAGAAAGCGUAAUAGCUCACUGGUCGAGUCGGCCUGCGCGGAAGAUGUAACGGGGCUAAACCAUGCACCGAAGCUGCGGCAGCGACGCUGAUGCGUUGUUGGGUAGGGGAGCGUUCUGUAAGCCUGCGAAGGUGUGCUGUGAGGCAUGCUGGAGGUAUCAGAAGUGCGAAUGCUGACAUAAGUAACGAUAAAGCGGGUGAAAAGCCCGCUCGCCGGAAGACCAAGGGUUCCUGUCCAACGUUAAUCGGGGCAGGGUGAGUCGACCCCUAAGGCGAGGCCGAAAGGCGUAGUCGAUGGGAAACAGGUUAAUAUUCCUGUACUUGGUGUUACUGCGAAGGGGGGACGGAGAAGGCUAUGUUGGCCGGGCGACGGUUGUCCCGGUUUAAGCGUGUAGGCUGGUUUUCCAGGCAAAUCCGGAAAAUCAAGGCUGAGGCGUGAUGACGAGGCACUACGGUGCUGAAGCAACAAAUGCCCUGCUUCCAGGAAAAGCCUCUAAGCAUCAGGUAACAUCAAAUCGUACCCCAAACCGACACAGGUGGUCAGGUAGAGAAUACCAAGGCGCUUGAGAGAACUCGGGUGAAGGAACUAGGCAAAAUGGUGCCGUAACUUCGGGAGAAGGCACGCUGAUAUGUAGGUGAAGUCCCUCGCGGAUGGAGCUGAAAUCAGUCGAAGAUACCAGCUGGCUGCAACUGUUUAUUAAAAACACAGCACUGUGCAAACACGAAAGUGGACGUAUACGGUGUGACGCCUGCCCGGUGCCGGAAGGUUAAUUGAUGGGGUCAGCGCAAGCGAAGCUCUUGAUCGAAGCCCCGGUAAACGGCGGCCGUAACUAUAACGGUCCUAAGGUAGCGAAAUUCCUUGUCGGGUAAGUUCCGACCUGCACGAAUGGCGUAAUGAUGGCCAGGCUGUCUCCACCCGAGACUCAGUGAAAUUGAACUCGCUGUGAAGAUGCAGUGUACCCGCGGCAAGACGGAAAGACCCCGUGAACCUUUACUAUAGCUUGACACUGAACAUUGAGCCUUGAUGUGUAGGAUAGGUGGGAGGCUUUGAAGUGUGGACGCCAGUCUGCAUGGAGCCGGCCUUGAAAUACCACCCUUUAAUGUUUGAUGUUCUAACGUUGACCCGUGAUCCGGGUUGCGGACAGUGUCUGGUGGGUAGUUUGACUGGGGCGGUCUCCUCCUAAAGAGUAACGGAGGAGCACGAAGGUUGGCUAAUCCUGGUCGGACAUCAGGAGGUUAGUGCAAUGGCAUAAGCCAGCUUGACUGCGAGCGUGACGGCGCGAGCAGGUGCGAAAGCAGGUCAUAGUGAUCCGGUGGUUCUGAAUGGAAGGGCCAUCGCUCAACGGAUAAAAGGUACUCCGGGGAUAACAGGCUGAUACCGCCCAAGAGUUCAUAUCGACGGCGGUGUUUGGCACCUCGAUGUCGGCUCAUCACAUCCUGGGGCUGAAGUAGGUCCCAAGGGUAUGGCUGUUCGCCAUUUAAAGUGGUACGCGAGCUGGGUUUAGAACGUCGUGAGACAGUUCGGUCCCUAUCUGCCGUGGGCGCUGGAGAACUGAGGGGGGCUGCUCCUAGUACGAGAGGACCGGAGUGGACGCAUCACUGGUGUUCGGGUUGUCAUGCCAAUGGCACUGCCCGGUAGCUAAAUGCGGAAGAGAUAAGUGCUGAAAGCAUCUAAGCACGAAACUUGCCCCGAGAUGAGUUCUCCCUGACUCCUUGAGAGUCCUGAAGGAACGUUGAAGACGACGACGUUGAUAGGCCGGGUGUGUAAGCGCAGCGAUGCGUUGAGCUAACCGGUACUAAUGAACCGUGAGGCUUAACCUU
This 2904-nucleotide ribosomal RNA is filed under the name Escherichia coli. RNAcentral's name for it is "bacterial LSU rRNA". It matches the Rfam family "Bacterial large subunit ribosomal RNA". RNAcentral also lists the same sequence under 2 other names. Lineage: Bacteria; Pseudomonadati; Pseudomonadota; Gammaproteobacteria; Enterobacterales; Enterobacteriaceae. The record is from RNAcentral.